RNAcentral lists this ribosomal RNA (252 nucleotides) under Phaenopharos struthioneus. Its description in RNAcentral is "partial 12S ribosomal RNA". The record is from RNAcentral. Lineage: Eukaryota; Metazoa; Arthropoda; Insecta; Phasmatodea; Lonchodidae.
UAAACUAGGAUUAGAUACCCUAUUAUUGUAUACGUAAAUAUUAGACUAGGGUAUUAAUAGUUAUGUUCUUUAAACCUAAAGAAUUUGGCGGUAUUUUAAUCUAUUUAGAGGAAUUUGUGCUGUUAUCGAUAAUCCUCGUUUUAUCUUGCUUUAUUUUGUUUAUCAGUAUGUAUAUCGCCGUUAUAAGUUUAUUUUAUUAGAAUUUAUAAUUUACUUUUUUCUUUACUAAGAUUUAUUUCAGGUCAAGGUGCA